CUCUUAGUGCAAGGUUGCUUCUUAGAGAGUAUUGUGUUGUUAGAGCAGCUCUGUCAACAGUUGGGCGCUUUAUCAUCUUUGAUACUGGGGAGCAAAGCUGUUAAAGCUCCUGCCACAAGUAGUAAGAUGAUGAU
Molecule: long non-coding RNA, 134 nt
Organism: Gallus gallus (chicken)
Lineage: Eukaryota; Metazoa; Chordata; Aves; Galliformes; Phasianidae
Exons: 2
Source: RefSeq, a predicted model, not a curated record